UACAGAGGUCUCAAGCGUUGUUAGGAUUCAUUGGGCGUAAAGGGUGCGUAGGUGGCGUGGUAAGUCGGGUGUGAAAUUUCGGAGCUUAACUCCGAAACUGCAUUCGAUACUGCUGUGCUUGAGGACUGGAGAGGAGACUGGAAUUUACGGUGUAGCAGUGAAAUGCGUAGAGAUCGUAAGGAAGACCAGUGGCGAAGGCGGGUCUCUGGACAGUUCCUGACACUGAGGCACGAAGGCCAGGGGAGCAAACGGG
This 253-nucleotide ribosomal RNA is filed under the name uncultured bacterium. Its description in RNAcentral is "partial 16S ribosomal RNA". It matches the Rfam family "Bacterial small subunit ribosomal RNA", at positions 524 to 776 of the family's 1533-position model. The record is from RNAcentral.